ACGAAUUAUUUUUAGAAGGAGAGGUGAAUACGCGUGUUGUGCUGUGACAGGGCAGCGUUUGUGUCGAAGAAGCUCUGGAUAGACUCGCAGUUCCUCAGCGAAGACGCUCCGCAGACAGACAGACGGAUGGAGUGGGAUGAUGAGGUGGAAAAAGCUGUUCUGAUAGUCCUGACAGGAGACCCAUGACUCACACUUCUCAGCAGGCGGGAAGGAACGCGCUCCGCCACAACCAGCUCUUCAAAAGGUGUCAUGCUGGAAAACAAAGAUGGGUGACAGGAAGUCAUGUCGAGGUUCACACAGAGGCCCGAUGAUGACAUCAGUGUGACACCGUGACGCCAGCGCUGUGGAUGAAGACGCCGGUGGUCUCCAGUAACGGCUGAGCGUUUCUCGUCCAGAUCUCCCCCACAGCGGCGCUGCAAUCAGCUCCGUCAUUAGGAUUCAGCUGCGGCCUCCUCUGCCACUUUCAAUUGGCGCCAACAUGGCAGCGGAGUAGUAAAUCAGGUCUGGUAGUUCAGCACAGAGACACGGACAGAAACCAAGCUACAGCUUGCCUGGAUAUGUGUAACCGACGCAAUUUUGGUGGCUUCCUGAUCUUUCUACAUGACUGAGUUAUUGAACACUACUAAGUAACGGCAAAAUUAGUGUAGUGAUUGCGCUCAGAACACCAUGUACAUACAUGAAUACAUGUGAUGUGACACAAGCUAUACUUACCAUCGUCUGAAUCACAUACGUCGACAAGAGUCAGCCCACAUUGCCGUCUUAGUGCCAGGCGUGAAUUAACAAUUAACCAACUGUUGUUUCAUAGCAACCGACACUCAUUAAGAAGUUCAUCAUUGGCUGCUAUAUUCAGCACACUACCCUUGGGGUGGGCGUACAUCUAGCGCAAACAUCUCUUAUGAAGAGAUAUAUAAAAACAUGAAGUGGAAACUAAUGUUGAAAGACUUGUCAAGACAUCACAUAACAGCUGGUCCCGGGAGAAGCUCUCGUUGCGGAGGUGACAGGUUGAUUUUUUUUUUUGUGUGUGUGUUUCAGAGCAUCUAUUUUUUACAAUUCGGCCCAAUUAGAUCAAGUCAGCGGAGUUUUAAAAUCUGCAAAUUAUCACAUGGGCAAAACUAUGAAGAAUGCAGAUGAGAAAUACAAGGUUUGUGCUCCUUGCAGGUGCAAAACUUACAAUGCUUGAAUAUCCUAGUUGGUUUCCAAAAAUGGUUGCUUCUGAAUGGUUUUUAGCAGAUAUUAAGUUGUUCUGGGCGGUUUCCAGGUGGCCUGAGUGUAAAAAAAAAACUGUGAUAUUCUGGUCUGUAGAUAUAGCUCGAAUUUCUCAUUCAGUGCACGUUGUUUGUUGUUUACGCUUGUUUUAUCGUCCGCCAGUGAAGAAUUGUGUAAGUUCACUCACUUAAAGGUGCAGUAAGCAAUUUCUGAGAAACACUGUUGAUAUUUGAAGUCACUAAAACAAACACGCCCCUACUCAAACGGAUCACACCCCUAUUUUGAUAGCUCCG
This is a long non-coding RNA of Ctenopharyngodon idella (grass carp), 1499 nucleotides long. RefSeq lists it as uncharacterized. The transcript has 3 exons. NCBI's taxonomy places the organism in Eukaryota, Metazoa, Chordata, Actinopteri, Cypriniformes, Xenocyprididae. The record is from RefSeq and is a predicted model, not a curated record.